Molecule: long non-coding RNA, 410 nt
Filed under: Equus caballus (horse)
Lineage: Eukaryota; Metazoa; Chordata; Mammalia; Perissodactyla; Equidae
Description: lncRNA (ENSECAG00000053915.1)
Source: RNAcentral
UCUCCUGUUCACUACGAAACAGAUUUGGGCCUAGACAUCACCAUCAUAUAAAACAAGGUGUUCCUGAACCUCAGAAUGCAGGCCCCUAAGCACAUGCUCCCCUGAAAGAAGAGUGGCCUUCCUGCCUCCCCAUUCCUGACCAAGAAAUGUGGCCCAGGUCUGGCUAACUGGAAUUCUGGAUACCCUGGUCAGCCAUGAUCGCUCAUGGAUGAUUACGUGGCUUAAGUCAGGCCAGCUAGAACCAGAGACUCAACUUGAAGCCUUUGUCAUAACUACAGGAUUAAAGAAACUCUCUACCUGCUAUUCUUGAAGAUAAUUGGAUGUUUAUCUGGAAAUGCCAGCAGACAUUUUAGCAGAGAAAACUCACCUCAGAAACAUGCCAACCCAGAGGAAAGAAGAGUGAAGAGAUG